RNAcentral lists this unclassified non-coding RNA (387 nucleotides) under soil metagenome. RNAcentral's name for it is "partial contains 5.8S ribosomal RNA, internal transcribed spacer 2, and large subunit ribosomal RNA". The stretch from base 1 to 122 matches the Rfam family "5.8S ribosomal RNA", at positions 35 to 154 of the family's 154-position model. The record is from RNAcentral.
GAUGAAGAACGCAGCGAAAUGCGAUAAGUAAUGUGAAUUGCAGAAUUCAGUGAAUCAUCGAAUCUUUGAACGCACCUUGCACCCUUUGGACUGCUCCAAAGGGUAUGCUCGUUUGAGUGUCAUUGUACUCUCACACUCUCUGAUCCUUUGUAUUUGGGGAGCAGUGGACUUGGGUGCUUGCUGCUUCCUUGUGGCUCACCUGAAAUGCAUCAGUGCAUCUCUCGAUUGGACAUAGUACGGCGUGAUAAGUGUCUUCGCCGGCACCUCAUAUGAGGGUGGCCGAUCGGGAGCUCUGUGCUUUCAAACCGUCUUCGGACAACGCUGACAACUUGGCCUCAAAUCGAGUAGGACUACCCGCUGAACUUAAGCAUAUCAAUAAGCGGAGGA